GUCCGGCUGACGAGUCCCAAAUAGGGCGAAACCCACGUUCUGGAU
RNAcentral lists this non-coding RNA (45 nucleotides) under Schistosoma haematobium. The record is from RNAcentral. Lineage: Eukaryota; Metazoa; Platyhelminthes; Trematoda; Strigeidida; Schistosomatidae.